RNAcentral lists this transfer RNA (65 nucleotides) under Acropyga goeldii. RNAcentral's name for it is "tRNA-Phe". The record is from RNAcentral. Lineage: Eukaryota; Metazoa; Arthropoda; Insecta; Hymenoptera; Formicidae.
AUUUAAAUAGCUUAUAUUAAAGCAUAAUAUUGAAGAUAUUAAAAAAAUAUUUUUAUUUUUGAAUA